CCUACGGGCGGCAGUAGUGGGGAAUAUUGCGCAAUGGGCGAAAGCCUGACGCAGCGACGCCGCGUGAGGGAUGAAGGUCUUCGGAUCGUAAACCUCUGUCAGCAGGGAAGAACGGUCACUGUGCUAAUCAGCAGUGAAUUGACGGUACCUGCAAAGGAAGCACCGGCGAACUCCGUGCCAGCAGCCGCGGUAAUACGGAGGGUGCGAGCGUUAAUCGGAAUUACUGGGCGUAAAGGGCUCGUAGGCGGUAUGUCAAGUCAAGGGUGAAAUACCCGCGCUCAACGUGGGAACUGCCUUUGAAAAUGGCGAACGUGAGUGUGUGAGAGGUUAGUGGAAUUCGAGGUGUAGCAGUGAAAUGCGUAGAUAUCUGGAGGAACAUCAGUGGCGAAGGCGACUAUCUGGCACAUAACUGACGCUGAGGAGCGAAAGCGUGGGUAGCAAACAGGAUUAGAUACCCCAGUAGUC
RNAcentral lists this ribosomal RNA (465 nucleotides) under uncultured bacterium. RNAcentral's name for it is "partial 16S ribosomal RNA". It matches the Rfam family "Bacterial small subunit ribosomal RNA", at positions 338 to 795 of the family's 1533-position model. The record is from RNAcentral.